Molecule: ribosomal RNA, 468 nt
Filed under: uncultured bacterium
Lineage: Bacteria
Description: partial 16S ribosomal RNA
Rfam family: Bacterial small subunit ribosomal RNA
Source: RNAcentral
GACGAACGCUGGCGGCGUGCUUAACACAUGCAAGUCGAACGGAAAGGCCCUGCUUUUGUGGGGUGCUCGAGUGGCGAACGGGUGAGUAACACGUGAGUAACCUGCCCUUGACUUUGGGAUAACUUCAGGAAACUGGGGCUAAUACCGGAUAGGAGCUCCUGCUGCAUGGUGGGGGUUGGAAAGUUUCGGCGGUUGGGGCUGGACUCGCGGCUUAUCCGCUUGUUGGUGGGGUAGUGGCUUACCAAGGCUUUGACGGGUAGCCGGCCUGAGAGGGUUACCGGCCACAUUGGGACUGAGAUACGGCGCAGACUCCUACGGGAGGCAGCAGGGGGGAAUAUUGCACAAUGGGCGGAAGCCUGAUGCAGCAACGCCGCGUGCGGGAUGACGGCCUUCGGGUUGUAAACAGAUUUCGCCGGUGACGAAGCGUGAGUGACGGUAAUGGGUAAAGAAGCACCAGCUAACUACGUG